CUUUCCAGAGAGGGGUUACCAUGGCACAGAACAACAAGCUCAGCAUUCUGACAGUUGAAUGAUGCUGGCUGGCAAUUGAUAGCAACCAUAACACAGAUAAGAAGCAAUCAUCAACUAACACCAGUGUUCUGGCUGUGUGGCUUACACUAUUUUGCUCAUCAGUGCUGCCUGGACUGGCUUUAAUGGAGUUGGGAGAAACAGGCCUAGCGGGUACAGAUACGGGCGACCUUAAAUAAACUUGUGUCCUGAUGUUGAUGUCCUCUUCAAAGUACCAUUUUUAAAUUUUGAUUUUUCCCUUGUCUCCUUUCCAUUUGUAUUGUUUUCUAUCCUGCCUUAUUCUCUCCCCUAACUUUGAUCUUUUACUUUUAAGGGCUAUGGAAGGGCCAAAGACCCCUCUUCUAUGUCUGUUUUAGGCUGGGUUGGUUGUGGCACUGACCCUUCCUAGACACCAACAACCAAAAGUUUCUCUCUCACUGAUCCUAAGAAGGUGAAAGACAACCAGAACAUUGGCAAGUCAUUGGCUUUUAAACCAUUUUAUAACCACGUUAAACAACCAAGGGCCAAAAAUUAAAACAAUAUUGCUGAGUUAUGGCUCCAAAGAGUGGCAUAAUUUGGAAAAAAUUAGGUAGCAUUUGAUAGAAGUCUUUUAUCUUCAAUACUAAUUUCUACUUCUUUUUUAGGUGUUUAUCCUAGUACAACAACUGGAAUUUAAAAACAUACAGACUUCAUUUGUUGAUGACUGUACCCAAUCCUAUUAAACUGAAAAGGGUGAGGUGGCAGACAAUACUUCUUGGCAAAUAAAGGUUCUAUCACUGGAAAGCAGAGCAUAAGGAGAUCUUAACCAACAAAAGUCUCUUCACUCUAACCUCAACCCUCUGCACAAAAAGGGAUGAGGACAUAUAAAAA
This is a long non-coding RNA of Octodon degus (degu), 906 nucleotides long. RefSeq lists it as uncharacterized. The record is from RefSeq and is a predicted model, not a curated record. The transcript is spliced from 3 exons. NCBI's taxonomy places the organism in Eukaryota, Metazoa, Chordata, Mammalia, Rodentia, Octodontidae.